AUUGAACGCUGGCGGCAGGCCUAACACAUGCAAGUCGAGCGGAUGGAGGGAGCUUGCUCCUGGAUUCAGCGGCGGACGGGUGAGUAAUGCCUAGGAAUCUGCCUGGUAGUGGGGGAUAACGUCCGGAAACGGGCGCUAAUACCGCAUACGUCCUGAGGGAGAAAGUGGGGGAUCUUCGGACCUCACGCUAUCAGAUGAGCCUAGGUCGGAUUAGCUAGUUGGUGGGGUAAAGGCCUACCAAGGCGACGAUCCGCAACUGGUCUGAGAGGAUGAUCAGUCACACUGGAACUGAGACACGGUCCAGACUCCUACGGGAGGCAGCAGUGGGGAAUAUUGGACAAUGGGCGAAAGCCUGAUCCAGCCAUGCCGCGUGUGUGAAGAAGGUCUUCGGAUUGUAAAGCACUUUAAGUUGGGAGGAAGGGCAGUAAGUUAAUACCUUGCUGUUUUGACGUUACCAACAGAAUAAGCACCGGCUAACUUCGUG
This 484-nucleotide ribosomal RNA is filed under the name uncultured bacterium. Its description in RNAcentral is "partial 16S ribosomal RNA". It matches the Rfam family "Bacterial small subunit ribosomal RNA", at positions 30 to 507 of the family's 1533-position model. The record is from RNAcentral.